Suncus etruscus (white-toothed pygmy shrew) is the source of this 126-nucleotide small nucleolar RNA. RefSeq annotates it as small nucleolar RNA SNORA49. NCBI's taxonomy places the organism in Eukaryota, Metazoa, Chordata, Mammalia, Eulipotyphla, Soricidae. The transcript has a single exon. The record is from RefSeq and is a predicted model, not a curated record.
CUCCCUCAACCUUACUCCAGGGGCUUUUGCUUUUAGUACCUUGGCAUUGCCUGAGGGUACAGGAAAAGCGCAUUUUCCUCCCCAGAAAAACUGUUUCCUUCGGGGCCUAUAAGGUGAGCUGACUGU